Scomber scombrus (Atlantic mackerel) is the source of this 239-nucleotide long non-coding RNA. RefSeq lists it as uncharacterized. The transcript is spliced from 3 exons. Lineage: Eukaryota; Metazoa; Chordata; Actinopteri; Scombriformes; Scombridae. The record is from RefSeq and is a predicted model, not a curated record.
CACAGAAGGAAAUCAACCAUCAGGCUCAUGCUGACAUACAUGUGCAUAUCUCUGGAACAACAGACCCGACCCCCCCUAGUAAUGGAACAGCCCAAGACCGAAAUGAAGGAAGUGAGCAACAUUGUGUUGAAUGAGAUGUUACUUGGUGUAACUGAAGGAGACGGAGGUGAUGAUGAUGACACCGGUUCACCACUCAUGACUGCAGAUUCUCGAGUCUAACAACGUGCCUUGAAGUUGAC